This 711-nucleotide ribosomal RNA is filed under the name uncultured bacterium. RNAcentral describes it as "bacterial SSU rRNA". It matches the Rfam family "Bacterial small subunit ribosomal RNA", at positions 139 to 845 of the family's 1533-position model. The record is from RNAcentral.
GGGGAUAACCCGCGGAAACGCGGCCUAAUACCCCGUGACGCCACCGGAGGGCAUCCUCCGGUGACCAAAGGAGCGAUCCGGUGGCGGAUGGGCAUGCGGCGCAUUAGCUAGACGGCGGGGUGACGGCCCACCGUGGCGACGAUGCGUAGGGGUUCUGAGAGGAAGGCCCCCCACACUGGGACUGAGACACGGCCCAGACUCCUACGGGAGGCAGCAGUGAGGAAUAUUGGUCAAUGGGCGGAAGCCUGAACCAGCCAAGUCGCGUGAGGGAUUAAGGCCCUGCGGGUCGUAAACCUCUUUUGCCGGGGAGCAGUGGUCCGGACGCGUCCGGACCGGGAGAGUACCCGGAGAAAAAGCAUCGGCUAACUCCGUGCCAGCAGCCGCGGUAAUACGGAGGAUGCGAGCGUUAUCCGGAUUUAUUGGGUUUAAAGGGUGCGUAGGCGGGCAUUUAAGCCGGCGGUCAAAUGUCGGGGCUCAACCCCGGCCUGCCGUCGGAACUGGGUGCCUUGAGUGGGCGAGAAGUAUGCGGAAUGCGUGGUGUAGCGGUGAAAUGCAUAGAUAUCACGCAGAACCCCGAUUGCGAAGGCAGCAUACCGGCGCCCUACUGACGCUGAGGCACGAAAGUGCGGGUAUCGAACAGGAUUAGAUACCCUGGUAGUCCGCACAGUAAACGAUGGAUAAUAUCUGUCCGGGCCGAAUGAGGCCUGGGUG